CCUUCGAUAGCUCAGUUGGUAGAGCGGUGGACUGUAGACGGUAGUGGUUGAGAAGGCGCUGAUAUCCAUAGGUCGCUGGUUCAAAUCCGGCUCGAAGGA
Molecule: transfer RNA, 99 nt
Filed under: Drosophila ananassae
Lineage: Eukaryota; Metazoa; Arthropoda; Insecta; Diptera; Drosophilidae
Rfam family: tRNA
About the family: Transfer RNA (tRNA) molecules are approximately 80 nucleotides in length. Their secondary structure includes four short double-helical elements and three loops (D, anti-codon, and T loops). Further hydrogen bonds mediate the characteristic L-shaped molecular structure. tRNAs have two regions of fundamental functional importance: the anti-codon, which is responsible for specific mRNA codon recognition, and the 3' end, to which the tRNAs corresponding amino acid is attached (by aminoacyl-tRNA synthetases). tRNAs cope with the degeneracy of the genetic code in two manners: having more than one tRNA (with a specific anti-codon) for a particular amino acid; and 'wobble' base-pairing, i.e. permitting non-standard base-pairing at the 3rd anti-codon position.
Source: Rfam by way of RNAcentral